UACAGAAGGAGGAAGUACGGGGAGAGAAAGAAAGCGAGACGAUCACACGACACAAACCGGAUUCGUAUGCGAUGGAAUUGUCGGAAUGAAAAUGGACAGGUUCAUCGUAUGAUGAAAGAAUGAGGAAAACAACAGAUGCCAAAAUGUAUUUGAAUCUCGAAUUUUGAGCAGAGGGUGAUCUCAAACAAUUGACUCGACUAACUGAUGAGGAAUUAGGAAACAAAAUCGAUUCUGUCCGUCCGUUCACUAAAUACAAGAACAAUCAGGAACAGAAUGGACCAGAGACUUGAAAUUUUCAGGAUAUCCGGAUAUCUAUUUCGAUGGCUAUAAAAGGAGGGCAUCAAGGACCAUCGGAAGAAAUUAUAAUAAUAAUAAUAAUAAUAUGAUGGUUUAUUCUGAAUGUAUUAUAUUAUUAAACUGUGCUCAUUGUAAAAACGAAUUGAA
This is a long non-coding RNA of Harmonia axyridis, 444 nucleotides long. RefSeq lists it as uncharacterized. Lineage: Eukaryota; Metazoa; Arthropoda; Insecta; Coleoptera; Coccinellidae. The transcript is spliced from 3 exons. The record is from RefSeq and is a predicted model, not a curated record.